GCAUAUUUGAAAAAAUGCUUCGGGACGC
This 28-nucleotide small RNA is filed under the name Bombyx mori (domestic silkworm). Its description in RNAcentral is "ovarian small RNA-16530". Lineage: Eukaryota; Metazoa; Arthropoda; Insecta; Lepidoptera; Bombycidae. The record is from RNAcentral.